CCUACGGGAGGCUGCAGUGGGGAAUAUUGGACAAUGGGGGGAACCCUGAUCCAGCCAUGCCGCGUGUGUGAAGAAGGCGCUCGGGUUGUAAAGCACUUUCAGUGAGGAAGAACGCCUGGUGGUUAAUACCCAUCAGGAAAGACAUCACUCACAGAAGAAGCACCGGCUAACUCCGUGCCAGCAGCCGCGGUAAUACGGAGGGUGCGAGCGUUAAUCGGAAUUACUGGGCGUAAAGCGCGCGUAGGUGGCUUGAUAAGCCGGUUGUGAAAGCCCCGGGCUCAACCUGGGAACGGCAUCCGGAACUGUCAAGCUAGAGUGCAGGAGAGGAAGGUAGAAUUCCCGGUGUAGCGGUGAAAUGCGUAGAGAUCGGGAGGAAUACCAGUGGCGAAGGCGGCCUUCUGGACUGACACUGACACUGAGGUGCGAAAGCGUGGGUAGCAAACAGGAUUAGAUACCCUGGUAGUC
This 465-nucleotide ribosomal RNA is filed under the name Vreelandella stevensii. RNAcentral's name for it is "partial 16S ribosomal RNA". It matches the Rfam family "Bacterial small subunit ribosomal RNA", at positions 338 to 795 of the family's 1533-position model. Lineage: Bacteria; Pseudomonadati; Pseudomonadota; Gammaproteobacteria; Oceanospirillales; Halomonadaceae. The record is from RNAcentral.